GCGUUGGUGGUUCAGUGGUAGAAUACUCGCCUGCCACGCGGGUGACCCGGGUUCGAUUCCUGGGCGACGCA
RNAcentral lists this transfer RNA (71 nucleotides) under Rhipicephalus microplus (southern cattle tick). RNAcentral's name for it is "tRNA-Gly". It matches the Rfam family "tRNA". From Rfam's summary of the family: Transfer RNA (tRNA) molecules are approximately 80 nucleotides in length. Lineage: Eukaryota; Metazoa; Arthropoda; Arachnida; Ixodida; Ixodidae. The record is from Rfam by way of RNAcentral.